AGUGAACGCUGGCGGUAGGCCUAACACAUGCAAGUCGAACGGCAGCACAGUAAGAGUUUGCUCUUACGGGUGGCGAGUGGCGGACGGGUGAGGAAUACAUCGGAAUCUACUUUUUCGUGGGGGAUAACGUAGGGAAACUUACGCUAAUACCGCAUACGACCUACGGGUGAAAGCAGGGGAUCUUCGGACCUUGCGCGAUUGUAUGAGCCGAUGUCGGAUUAGCUAGUUGGCGGGGUAAAGGCACACCAAGGCGACGAUCCGUAGCUGGUCUGAGAGGAUGAUCAGCCACACUGGAACUGAGACACGGUCCAGACUCCUACGGGAGGCAGCAGUGGGGAAUAUUGCACAAUGGGCGCAAGCCUGAUCCAGCCAUGCCGCGUGGGUGAAGAAGGCCUUCGGGUUGUAAAGCCCUUUUGUUGGGAAAGAAAAGCAGCAGGUUAAUACCCCGCUGUUCUGACGGUACCCAAAGAAUAAGCACCGGCUAACUUCGUG
Molecule: ribosomal RNA, 492 nt
Filed under: uncultured bacterium
Lineage: Bacteria
Description: partial 16S ribosomal RNA
Rfam family: Bacterial small subunit ribosomal RNA
Source: RNAcentral